CUGCUCAAUGAUUAAAAUAUUAAAUAGCUGCAGUAUAUUGACUGUACAAAGGUAGCAUAAUCAAUUGUUUUUUAAUUGAAAACUUGUAUGAAAGAUUGAAUGAAAUAUUAUCUGUUUCAUAAUAAAUUAUUGAAUUUAUAUUUUAGAUAAAAAUAUCUAAAUUUAAUUAUUAGACGAUAAGACCCUAUAGAAUUUUAUUAUUUUUAAUUAAUUAAAAUUAAAUUAAAUAAUUUAAUUGGGGGGAUAAAAAAAUUUUUAAUUUUUUUAAUAGGUUAACAAAUAUAAUUGGUAAAUUAUAGAAUAUUAAUUUAUAGAUAUUAGAUUAAAUUACCUUAGGGAUAACAGCAUAAUUUUUUUGGAAAGUUCAAAUUUAUAAAAAAGAUUAUGACCUCGAUGUUGAAUUA
This 404-nucleotide ribosomal RNA is filed under the name Disogmus areolator. Its description in RNAcentral is "partial 16S ribosomal RNA". The record is from RNAcentral. Lineage: Eukaryota; Metazoa; Arthropoda; Insecta; Hymenoptera; Proctotrupidae.